This 497-nucleotide ribosomal RNA is filed under the name uncultured bacterium. RNAcentral's name for it is "partial 16S ribosomal RNA". It matches the Rfam family "Bacterial small subunit ribosomal RNA", at positions 28 to 507 of the family's 1533-position model. The record is from RNAcentral.
GAUGAACGCUGGCGGCGUGCCUAAUACAUGCAAGUCGAGCGAAAGGACGCGACGCUUGCUUCUCUGUUGUUAGCGGCGGACGGGUGAGUCACACGUGGAUCAUCUACCUAUCAGACUGGGAUAACUUCGGGACACCGGCGCUAAUACCGGAUAAUAUCUUGCACCGCAUGGUUCAAAGGUGAAAGUCGGUCUUGCUGUAACUUCUAGAUGGUUCCGCGCUGCAUUAGCUAGUUGGUAAGGUAACGGCUUAUCAAGGCAACGAUGCAUAGCCGACCGGUGAGGGGGAUAGGCGACACGAGAACUGGGACAGGGUCCAUACUCCUACGGGAGGCACCAGUAUGGAAUCGUCCGCAAUAGUCGAAAGCCUUGCGGAACAACGCGACGUGAGUUAUGAAGGUCUUCGGAGCGGGAAACCCUGUUAUGAGUUAAGAACAGAUUUGGAAGUAACUGAACACAGCGUGACGGUACCGAAUCAAAAAGCCACGGCUAACUACGUG